Molecule: ribosomal RNA, 507 nt
Filed under: uncultured bacterium
Lineage: Bacteria
Description: partial 16S ribosomal RNA
Rfam family: Bacterial small subunit ribosomal RNA
Source: RNAcentral
GACGAACGCUGGCGGCGUGCCUAAUACAUGCAAGUCGAACGCAUUUUCUUUCACCGUAGCUUGCUACACCGAAAGAAAAUGAGUGGCGAACGGGUGAGUAACACGUCUGUAACCUGCCCAUCAGCGGGGGAUAACACUUGGAAACAGGUGCUAAUACCGCAUAAUUCCAUUUACUGCAUGGUAGAUGGAUGAAAGGCGCUUUUGCGUCACUUAUGGAUGGACCCGCGGUGCAUUAGCUAGUUGGUGGGGUAACGGCCUACCAAGGCUGCGAUGCAUAGCCGACCUGGGAGGGUGAUCGGCCAACCUGGGAAUGGGGCACGGCCCAGACUCCUACGGGAGGCAGCAGUAGGGAAUCUUCGGCAAUGGACGCAAGGCUGACCGAGCAACGCCGCGUGAGUGAAGAAGGGUUUCGGAUCGUAAAACUCUGUUGUUAGAAAAGAAAAAGGAUGAGAGUGGAAAGUUCAUCCCUUGACGGUACCUAAACAGAAAGCCACGGCUAACUACGUG